This 253-nucleotide ribosomal RNA is filed under the name uncultured bacterium. RNAcentral describes it as "partial 16S ribosomal RNA". It matches the Rfam family "Bacterial small subunit ribosomal RNA", at positions 524 to 776 of the family's 1533-position model. The record is from RNAcentral.
GACGUAGGAGGCGAGCGUUGUCCGGAUUCAUUGGGCGUAAAGAGCUCGUAGGCGGUUUGUCGCGUCGGCUGUGAAAACUCGGGGCUCAACCCCGAGCCUGCAGUCGAUACGGGCAGACUAGAGUGCUGUAGGGGAGACUGGAAUUCCUGGUGUAGCGGUGAAAUGCGCAGAUAUCAGGAGGAACACCGGUGGCGAAGGCGGGUCUCUGGGCCGAUACUGACGCUGAGGAGCGAAGGCGUGGGGAGCGAACAGG